This 253-nucleotide ribosomal RNA is filed under the name uncultured bacterium. RNAcentral describes it as "partial 16S ribosomal RNA". It matches the Rfam family "Bacterial small subunit ribosomal RNA", at positions 524 to 776 of the family's 1533-position model. The record is from RNAcentral.
UACGAAGGGGGCUAGCGUUGCUCGGAAUGACUGGGCGUAAAGGGCGCGUAGGCGGUUCGUACAGUCAGACGUGAAAUUCCCGGGCUCAACCUGGGGGCUGCGUUUGAUACGUGCGGGCUUGAGUUCGGAAGAGGGUCGUGGAAUUCCCAGUGUAGAGGUGAAAUUCGUAGAUAUUGGGAAGAACACCGGUGGCGAAGGCGGCGAGCUGGUCCAUUACUGACGCUGAGGCGCGACAGCGUGGGGAGCAAACAGG